CAGUAGCCGCGGGAAUACGAAGGGGGCUAGCGUUGUUCGGAAUUACUGGGCGUAAAGCGCACGUAGGCGGAUAUUUAAGUCAGGGGUGAAAUCCCGCAGCUCAACUGCGGAACUGCCUUUGAUACUGGGUAUCUUGAGUAUGGAAGAGGUUAGUGGAAUUGCGAGUGUAGAGGUGAAAUUCGUAGAUAUUCGCAGGAACACCAGUGGCGAAGGCGGCUAACUGGUCCAUAACUGACGCUGAGGUGCGAAAGCGUGGGGAGCAAACAGGAUUAGAUACCCGUGUAGUCCCUGUCCUUAUACA
This 301-nucleotide ribosomal RNA is filed under the name uncultured bacterium. Its description in RNAcentral is "partial 16S ribosomal RNA". It matches the Rfam family "Bacterial small subunit ribosomal RNA", at positions 509 to 809 of the family's 1533-position model. The record is from RNAcentral.